This 253-nucleotide ribosomal RNA is filed under the name uncultured bacterium. Its description in RNAcentral is "partial 16S ribosomal RNA". It matches the Rfam family "Bacterial small subunit ribosomal RNA", at positions 524 to 776 of the family's 1533-position model. The record is from RNAcentral.
UACGAGGGGGGCAAGCGUUGUUCGGAAUUAUUGGGCGUAAAGGGUGCGUAGGCGGUCUGACAAGUCCGAUGUGAAAUCUAUGGGCUCAACCCAUAGUCUGCAUCGGAAACUGUCGGGCUGGAGUAUGGGAGAGGUGAGUGGAAUUUCCGGUGUAGCGGUGAAAUGCGUAGAUAUCGGAAGGAACACCUGUGGCGAAAGCGGCUCACUGGACCAUUACUGACGCUGAUGCACGAAAGCUAGGGGAGCAAACAGG